Xiphophorus couchianus (Monterrey platyfish) is the source of this 461-nucleotide long non-coding RNA. RefSeq lists it as uncharacterized. The transcript has 3 exons. The record is from RefSeq and is a predicted model, not a curated record. NCBI's taxonomy places the organism in Eukaryota, Metazoa, Chordata, Actinopteri, Cyprinodontiformes, Poeciliidae.
CUGGAAAUCUGAAGUCAUUUUUGACUGAAGACACUACUCACCUUGUGAUGCUGUUUCGUGGUAGCCUGUGCUUCUCCUUGGCUCUGUAUUCAACCUCUUCGUAUACAAAAGCAGUUGGGUGAUCUGAAGAGAGUAGGCGGGAGGUGAAGGAGACAAUCCUUUGGAUUGGAUCGAGUCGGUUUCGUUGACGACACAAAGUCCUCCAUCUGAAGCUCUCCUUUGUUUUAGAUCUAUCAUGUCAGACUGAAAACAAAACAAGGAGAUUCUUACACUGAGUUACAAGCUUCUCUGACUGAAAAACUGCUUUUCACCUGCUUUCUAAAUGAGGACUGCUUCUCUGCAAAAGUUAAAGACGAAACUGAAAGAUCCUCAUGCAGGGGUCACCUUCUUCGCUGCUCCUGCCUCCUGGCUGUUUGUGCAUCCUGCAGCAGGCCUUUCAGUGUAAGGGCUGGAGGGCGGGG